Molecule: long non-coding RNA, 4598 nt
Organism: Esox lucius (northern pike)
Lineage: Eukaryota; Metazoa; Chordata; Actinopteri; Esociformes; Esocidae
Exons: 2
Source: RefSeq, a predicted model, not a curated record
UUGAAAUGCAGUCCAGGUGACUACCUCAUGAAGCUGGUUGAGAGAAUGCUAGGACUGUGCAAAGCUGUCAUCAAGGCUAUGGGUGGCGACUUUGAGGAAUCUACAAUAUCAAUGUAUUUUGAUUAUUUUAAUAGUUUAUUGUUUACUACAUGAUUCAAAUGGGUGUCAUUUAUUUAAUAUUAUUUAAAAAAAUUAGAACAAAAAUCAAGAAAUACCCUUUUAAUUAAACUGUGAAUUAAAUUCUACUCCAUUCAAUUGAAACUGCACUCAGCUUCCUGUAGAUGUGUAGCCAGUCUAUGCAAACUCAUUGGUUCAAUUUAAUUAAACAAAAUGAGUAAAGAUUGACCCAACCCUGUCGUAGAUGUUACAAACAAAACACUCUACAAACACACACACACACACACACAGUGCAACUUCCUAGCAAAUACUCUCCUCUCGGAUCAUUCCACCUACAUCAUGAAACCACCAUCUAUCUUCCACAGACUGAUGUCUGACAGAUGUGUGGCUAUGGAACUAACAUUCCAUGGGUUAGGGACAACAUGACCCCAGGUUAGGCACAACAUGACCCCAGGUUAAGGACAACAUGACCCCAGGUUAGGCACAACAUGACCCCAGGUUAGGGACACCAUGACACCAGGUUAGGGACAACAUGACCCCAGGUCAAGGACAACAUGACCCCAGGUUAGGGACAACAUGACACCAGGUUAGGGACAACAUGACACCAGGUCAAGGACAACAUGACCCCAGGUUAGGGACAACAUGACACCAGGUUAGGGACAACAUGACACCAGGUCAAGGACAACAUGACCCCAGGUUUGGGACAACAUGACCCCAGGUUAGGGACAACAUGACACCAGGUCAAGGACAACAUGACCCCAGGUUUGGGACAACAUGACCCCAGGUUAGGGACAACAUGACCCCAGGUUAGGGACAACAUGACCCCAGGUCAAGGACAACAUGACCCCAGGUUUGGGACAACAUGACCCCAGGUUAGGGACAACAUGACCCCAGGUUAGGGACAACAUGACCCCAGGUUAGGGACAAAAUGGGUGUCUUCGCGAUUUAGAUAGUUAACAGAAUGUCCAGUCAGUGACUCACAUACAAAUACAUGGACUCACAGACUUUGCAAUGGUGCAUUAUGUGGUAUUGUGAUUUCAUUUGCUCCUUUUGGUAUUUCAAAUCUGUUAAUUUUUUAUUUUAUGUUUUAUAUAAAAUUCCUUGUAUUUUAUGCCUUUAAUAUCAAGUAGAGGUAGUGGUUCCCCUCUGAUGGUCAAACUUGUUUUAGAAAAUUACUGUAACUUUCCCAAAACUGUCCUGGUUGAAGAAUUCCAGAUGUCUUGUUAAUUUCCUCCUGAGUCCAGAAAUUUGACAACUAGAAUUUCUUGUAAAAGGGAUUUUUUUGGAAAGUUACCAGAAUUUUGCAACCUAUGUCAAUUGUCCUUAUGCAUGAAUUUAUGAUCCUUUAAAGUUUGACUGCAUUUAUAGUGCAAUUAAUUAUUUAAGGUGCAGCUAGGUUACAAUAGUUAGUUCUUAUUUAUAUUUCUGAUAUAAGUGAUGAGACACAUGAGUAGUUAGCAAGCAGGUUUUUUAUAGCAUGAUGGGAAAGUUGUUUGUUUCGAGGUUGUGUCUGUAUUAAUGCAUGAUAGGAAGUUGUUUGUGUCUAUCAACAGAUGAUGCGAAGCGGAGUGUCAUGAGAGUGUGUGUGUGUGCUGUAGAGUGUGCUUGACUGUGUGUGAGCUGUCGUCUAUGCCUGCAUCGCAAACCUUGUUACCAUGGCAACAGUAUCCCUCAGCCCUAAUAUAAAAGAAACAUAAUAAAAGGUUCUCAAACCUAGCUCCUCCUACCACCCUGACAGUUGGUACGGUCCAGACAGAGCCCUGUGUUAAGGUUCUCUGGUCCACCUAGCUCCCCCUACCACCCUGACACUUGGUACGUACCAGACAGUGCCCUGUGUUAAAGUUCUUUGGUCCACCUAGCUCCCCCUACCACCCUGACAGUUAGUUCAGUCCAGACAGAGUCCUGUGUUAAGGUACUCUGGUCCACCUAGCUCCCCCACCUCUCUGACAGUUCGUACGUACCAGACAGAGUCCUGUGUUAAGGUACUCGGGUCCACCUAGCUCCCCCUACCACCCUGACAGUUGGUUCAGUCCAGACAGGAACCGGUGUUAAGGUACUCGGGUCCACCUAGCUCCCCCUACCACCCUGACAGUUGGUUCAAUCCAGACAGAGCCCUGUGUUAAGGUACUCUGGUCCACCUAGUUUCCCUACCACCCUGACAGUUGGUUAGGUCCAGACAGAGCUCUGUGUUAAGGUACUCUGGUCCACCUAGCUCCCCCUACCACCCUGACAGUUGGUUCAAUCCAGACAGAGCCCUGUGUUAAGGUACUCUGGUCCACCUAGUUUCCCUACCACCCUGACAGUUGGUUAGGUCCAGACAGAGCUCUGUGUUAAGGUACUCUGGUCCACCUAGCUCCCCCUACCACCCUGACAGUUGGUUCAGUCCAGACAGGGACCUGUGUUAAGGUACUCUGGUCCACCUAGCUCCCCCUACCACCCUGACAGUUGGUUCAGUCCAGAGAGAGAGAUCCGUCAGGGAUCAUUCCCCUUCAUUGGCUGUUACUAUGGCAAUUCUAUAAUCUCUGCUGUUGUUAGCAGCUGUGGUGGUGGGUUGGUUACCCUUGGUUACCGUUGUGUUAUUUACCAAGCUGUGGUUGCCGUAGUUACCCAUACAUUUAUGGUAAUUUUUGCUUUCAUGUCUUCGGUUGUCAAGGAAAUGCGGUACAGAACCUCAGUUAGGUUGCCAAGGCAACUACCUUUCCUUUUAACUUAUUUAGCUGAUGCACAUAUCAUACCGCAGCAACUCCAUAUAUUUAUGUGCUUAUUUGUACAGGUCAGAUGUCAUUGGGGAACUUUUCGUCCCCUUUUCUGACACUGUAAAUGCGGAGUGGAGUUAAACUGACUGACUGUCCCUACGUUUCUUCGCUCUCUAGAAAUCCAGUCCGGAGGCUUCACAGAUUUCCUAUAAAUCCCAUCAAUACUCUGGAAUCCAAAAUGGAUUUCUGUCCAAACCAAACAGGGAUUGUUGAGAAAAUUUGCAGAAUUGUGUCCUUACAACCCAAAUGUUAGGUUUGACAGUAAAGGAAGAGAGCUGUUGGUCUAGGAUACUGUAGAGAGCAGCUAAAGCAGCUAAAGUCGAUCAUUUCAGUUUCACUGCUGAGUAGCGCUGUGUAGACCACACUAGGUCUUACAAUAUCCUUAAAUGUCUCCAAUUACAACAUAACCUUUUCCACAUUUUACCAAAUGUGUUACAACAUGAAAUCAGAAUGGUUUUAAUAUUUGCUCGCUAUAUUGACUCUUUGGAGAAAUCUCCACCAGAUCUGCUCGUCUGCACACGUAUUGCCCAUUGUUUGCAGAAUUGCUCUGGCUCCAAGUUUGAUAGAGAGCUUUGUGGAUGAGCAAUAUUCAACUCUUAACAUAUUCUCAAUUGAAUUGACGUCCAGGCUUUGACGGGAACACCACAGACCUGUCCUGAAGCCACUCCAAUGUUGUCUCAGCUAAGGGCUCUUCACACCAGCCUGAGGUCCUGUGUCCUCUGGAUCAGAUUUUCCCCAAGGACAAGUCUCCUAGUCCCUUCCGUUGAGAAGCAUGCUCAUAGCAUGAUGCUGCCACCACCAGACUUCACUGAGCGCAUAGAAUUGUCUUCCACUUGGUCUCAUAGUCUGUCACAUGACUUCUGAGAAACCUUUGAAAAUUUGAUGUGCGUUUUUUUCUCUUUUUGCUAAUCCCGCACAAAGACCACUUUAAGCUGUUGUUGUAUUAUGAACAGUGUUGACCAUUGACCUCUUUGUGGCCUCCCGGAUAUCCUGAAAAAAUUGGUUUUUGAGAAGGCCCAGUUCUAGACUGGUUCACAGGUGUGCCAUAUUCUUUCCAUAUCUUGAGAAUAGAUUUUACUAUCCCCUGGACUUCUUAUGCAAUCAACUGUUUUUGGUUUUAUAUUUUUAAAUCAUUCAGAAAAAUAUGCACAUGGAUUUGUUUUGUAUAAGUCAGUGGCAAAAACUUAAUUUUGAAAUAAAUCAAUUUUGAUUUAAUUUUGUAACAUAGUAUAAAUGUGGAAAGGUCCAAGGGGGUGAAUACUUUUGAGAGCCCUGGUAUGUGCAUCCAUCCAUGUUUGUAUGCCUCCUGUGUUUUGUUUGGUCAGUACUGGAAAUCAUGAUCAAUGUUUCUUAUCCAUAGAAAUAUAAUUUCUAGACGGGACUCCAUUGUAAUCCUGGCAAUUUAAGUUGUAAACCUGCAACUGCAAUGGCUGACAGUCCACUAUGUCUUAUGUUCUAAGGAUUGUAUUUCUAUGGUUUUAUUUCUCUUGAUGCUGAUAAUGAUGAUGAUGUCUUGGUCUCUCUGCACUGAUUUGAGGAGUAGCUUUUUGCAUGUUCUGUUACUAUGAUAAACAACCAGUAUAGUAAUUUAAUAUUAGUCCUUAACCCCACAGCAGAGCAGGCUAUUAAGUGUGCUUUGCAUAUUUGUAGUAUUAUGCUUUUCAAAUGCUUUACUUGUGCCAAAGUAUUUUACAGAAAAAUCUAAAAUAAAUUACUAAAAAUGAA